AAGGGAGCUUGCUCCCGGAUUCAGCGGCGGACGGGUGAGUAAUGCCUAGGAAUCUGCCUGGUAGUGGGGGACAACGUUUCGAAAGGAACGCUAAUACCGCAUACGUCCUACGGGAGAAAGCAGGGGACCUUCGGGCCUUGCGCUAUCAGAUGAGCCUAGGUCGGAUUAGCUAGUUGGUGAGGUAAUGGCUCACCAAGGCGACGAUCCGUAACUGGUCUGAGAGGAUGAUCAGUCACACUGGAACUGAGACACGGUCCAGACUCCUACGGGAGGCAGCAGUGGGGAAUAUUGGACAAUGGGCGAAAGCCUGAUCCAGCCAUGCCGCGUGUGUGAAGAAGGUCUUCGGAUUGUAAAGCACUUUAAGUUGGGAGGAAGGGUUGUAGAUUAAUACUCUGCAAUUUUGACGUUACCGACAGAAUAAGCACCGGCUAACUCUGUGCCAGCAGCCGCGGUAAUACAGAGGGUGCAAGCGUUAAUCGGAAUUACUGGGCGUAAAGCGCGCGUAGGUGGUUCGUUAAGUUGGAUGUGAAAUCCCCGGGCUCAACCUGGGAACUGCAUCCAAAACUGGCGAGCUAGAGUAUGGUAGAGGGUGGUGGAAUUUCCUGUGUAGCGGUGAAAUGCGUAGAUAUAGGAAGGAACACCAGUGGCGAAGGCGACCACCUGGACUGAUACUGACACUGA
RNAcentral lists this ribosomal RNA (681 nucleotides) under Pseudomonas sp. 2hN4. RNAcentral's name for it is "bacterial SSU rRNA". It matches the Rfam family "Bacterial small subunit ribosomal RNA", at positions 72 to 749 of the family's 1533-position model. Lineage: Bacteria; Pseudomonadati; Pseudomonadota; Gammaproteobacteria; Pseudomonadales; Pseudomonadaceae. The record is from RNAcentral.